RNAcentral lists this ribosomal RNA (252 nucleotides) under uncultured bacterium. RNAcentral describes it as "partial 16S ribosomal RNA". It matches the Rfam family "Bacterial small subunit ribosomal RNA", at positions 524 to 776 of the family's 1533-position model. The record is from RNAcentral.
CACGUAGGGUGCGAGCGUUGUCCGGAAUUACUGGGCGUAAAGCGCGCGCAGGCGGAUAUUUAAGUCGGUCGUGAAGUCUCCCGGCCCAACUGGGAGGGGUCGUCCGAAACUGGAUGUCUUGAGGCAGCAGAGGUAGGUGGAAUUCCUGGUGUAGUGGUGAAAUGCGUAGAGAUCAGGAGGAACACCGGUGGCGAAGGCGGCCUACUGGGCUGUCACUGACGCUGAGGCGCGAAAGCGUGGGGAGCAAACAGG